CUUAAAUCAUAUUUAAUUAAAUAAGUAAUUUUUAAUUACAUUAAGUUAUAUAAUUAAAUCUAAUUAUAUCUAACAACCCUGCAAUUCCAACUUGUAAAGAACAAUACAACAACAACAACAAAAAAUACAAUAUAACUAAUGAAAAAAAUUACAAAUCGUAAUCACAUUGGUUAAACAAGAAACUUGAUGUAGAAAGUGGUAGCGGACGAGAUCCAUUACUCUCGUCGAAGUCUUCGGCCUACUUUGAGCUAACUUGAAAAUCUUUCGGUGUCUCCAAACAUCAACUACAUAUAGAAUCAAGAAUCUCAAUCUUAGGUUUUCAAAUGCAAAUUUGGUUAACAGAAUUUAACCACAUUAAGAUGGAAGCAUAAAGAGAAAUGUAUAACUAUUAUAGGAUAAAGAGAGUGAUAAUUGAUUUACUACCACAAGUAAAAACACAAUUAAAAAUGAUUAACUAAAUCGAUAGAGAAAGAUAAAAUGUUGAACUACCAUAAGGUAGAAAAGGCUAUUGUGGCUAAUCAAGAAAGAAAAUUUCAAGAAAUAUAUCUCCAAACACUUGAAGUAAAUGAGAAACAUAAUUGGAGCAACAUAUUUAUCUUUUUACCCAAAUGAGAUUCAAAUCUUGAAACCCAAAUUUUUGUCCAUGCUUAUCGCUGAAUGAGAAGGUACAAGCAUGGAGUAAUAUACCAAUUUUUAAUUUUUGGGUUUGCUCAUGAUAAUCAACAUAAAAUGCUCUUAUUUCGCGAUCUUAAACUCUAAGAGCCAUUAUGUCGUUGAAAUUUACCAUGACCAUCAAACUUCAACAUUUCUCCUUAAUUACUACUUCUUGCUCAACGAUUGAGAUUGCUUAAUUACCACUUAUUUCAUGUGAACAAAACAAAUAAAGCAAAUAUGUGUUGAAAGAAGAUUAAUGAAUAUGAUUGAUGAAAAUUUGAUAGAGAAAAUGGAAUGAAGAUAAUUAUGUCUUCAAGAAUGAUUUCAUAGCUCUGAUAUGAUAUGAGAAAUAUAAGAACUAAGAGAAAAAGAGGAAGCCAUAACUUCAUAGCUCAAUUGAGAAAACUUAAAAUGAAUUCAUAUUUCAUAAAAAGAUGAAAUAUGAUAUUCCUAUUUAUAUUGGUUAGUGAACACUAAACUUCUAACUUUUUUCUCUAACUAACUCGAAUUAGAACUAACUAUUUCAACUAACUAUAGUUGUAACUAACUAUCUAUUUCUAUUCUUAACAAUACGUAAAAAAGUGUUAUAUGGUCUUAUAAAUAUGGACAAAUAGAGUAAUAUAGUAAACAUUUAAUCAUUUUUUUUAUGAAUGUUUAAAGCGUUGUCACUAUAGUUUCUGAAUAUAUCAAAAUUGCAAAAUACAUUCUCAAUAUCUCUUUUGUUAAAUAAAUCAUGAACUAAACUCACCAAUAAAAACACUUUUAUCAAUAUUUAUUUUAUGCAAAUAUAAAGAAACGAGGAGGAGGUAAAAAUGAGGUAGAGAGAGAUGAGAAAGAGAUAAUAAAGAGAAAGGAGAUAGAAGGGGAUAGAAAGGCAUGAGAGUAUAGGUUGAGAGAUAUGAGAUAGUGGAUAGAGAGAUAAAAGAGAAAAAGAGACACAAGAGUAUAUAGUGAGGAGAGAGAUAAGAGGAGAAAAAAAGAUAAGAGAGUGAGAGAGUAUAGAGAGAGACACUAGAGCAGAGAGAGAUAAGAGGGAGAGAGAGUACAUAGAGAAGAAAAAG
RNAcentral lists this long non-coding RNA (1715 nucleotides) under Cicer arietinum (chickpea). RNAcentral describes it as "long non-coding RNA (CARI_LNC001406)". Lineage: Eukaryota; Viridiplantae; Streptophyta; Magnoliopsida; Fabales; Fabaceae. The record is from RNAcentral.